UGUCACACCUUUCCAAGUUGUGGCACUUCUGACUGGAUUCUAUGUGUUGAGACACCCGAGGUUUCGCCAGAAGCUUCCUUCUGUCCCUCUCAACUUCUUUAGAAGAUUGCCAGCCAGAACUGACUGCAUGCUAUGAGAUGAUCAACACCAGAAUGGAAUCAUCAAUUCCAGAGAAGGUUACUCUAUAAUCAAAAAAAGCCAUUCCUUUCUUCAAUUCCUGGUAUGAUGCAUACAACUAUCUUGGAACAAUGUUUUUGUAUAUCUUGUGGUUCUGUAGUCCUUUCUUACAUUUCAAAUUUCAUGGUCUGUGUUUUAUUUAGGUUGUGUUUUUUUAUUUGAUUGUUAUUAGUAGAUUAUGACAAUCAUCUUUGGUGAUAAUAUUCGAUAAAUAUCUUGGAUUGGCAGUAAUUUUUAUCAAAUGUUUCUUUAAGUAGGAGAGAAUCUUCAUUACUGUGUUGUGUUUUUGUUUGUGUGAUAAUAAAAUAAAAAUAUAAAAACAAUGGGACAAAAAUAGCACACCCCUCUUUUCUGCAGGAGCAGAAUAUAUUUGUUUUAGCAAGUUGGUGGUUUUUUUGUUGUAGUAUGGAAACAGACAAAGAUGAGAUAAAUCUCAUAAGUUGAUGGACCCAUGUGCAAAUGAACAUGGUUUUAUUCUAGGAUAUACUGUAUAUAAUUGUUUCCACUAUCAUGCGUAAUCAUUAUAUAGAACUUUUUGUGAAUGGCUAUGAAUUUGUACAUAGCAGUUACCUUCUUUUAUAUGAUGAAACAUGAUUAUUUGUGCUGUUACUUUAUUCUAGGCCACAAGUACAAAAUAGUACCUUAUUCUAAGACCAUGAUUAUUGGUCAGAUGAAUUAUUCUGUUUUCUGUGUGUAUUUGACUUUUUUGGUACAAUAUUAUUUAGGAAAUUACCUAAGAUUAAAAAGGGUAAAUGGUUAUGGUGUUUGGCUAUUUAUUUUUAAAGCAUACAACACAAAGUAGGGAUUGGUUGGCAUUUAUCUUUGCCGUGUUUGACAGCUGUGUAGACAAUGAUCUUUUGAAAAGCAAUUUUGGAAUUUUAUGUAAGCGUGGGAUCUUAUCACAUGUGCCCUGUUUUUAUCAAUAUGACCUUUUUUGGAGCUUCUUUCUGCAACAAAUAUUGAUUAGUUCUUUGAUUCAAUUAUAUUACUACUUUUCUUGAACAAGAAUCACAUGGUUUAUAUAUGUUUAGAUAAAACAAAUCAACUAAGACUUGAUUAUGUAGUGUGUAUGUAUAUGCAUAAUUCAUGUAUGCUAGUAUAUGUAUGUGUGUGUGUGUGUGGGUAUACAUGUUUUAAUAGCGGAGUUACCGAUAAAGUAGGAUUCUAUGAUUACAACAAAUUUGAGUAGAACUAAGAUAAGGUUACAAAAAUCAUUUAGGACAAGUCAAUAGACUCCUGGCUAAAUUCAAGUCUCGAACCACGUUUACUAAUAAACAACCCAUAUCGAGUUUUUUCCUCUAAAUAUUGAAGCAUUUGGUUUUAAGAAUUACAUUGCAGUUAAGUUGGGGUACACAUGAUUAUGCUAAUAUUUAUUCACAACAAACUAAAUAUUUUGAUGAGUAAUUGGAAAGUGCCAACAAGACAAGGAUAAGGUAUCAUAUCAAUUUGUAAUGUUCCAUGGACAAGCGUAAGAGUAUCAAUCCAAGAAGACCAUGAAAUGUUAGAAAUACAAAGGAGAAUUCAAAAUCAUUAAAUGGAGAAUAGAAAUAAACAAAAGAACUCAAAAACAUUAAAUGCAAUAAACGGUGAUAANAGAGCACAAGCACAUAAAUACCGUACAAUAAACACAAUUAAAAGGAGAUGGCUCCAAUACAUAACUUACUAAAUCCUAAUUUUAAUAAGCAUUCACACCCUCAUAUUUAAGUAUAUAUCUUUAAAAGGCACCAACUCUUUCAUGUCUAUCUUCACACUAGUGUUCGUAAUUCACAAAUUUAACAUCAUGACGGAUAAAUGAAUAUUAGGAUAAGAUUAUACCUGAAUGAUGCGUUGAGAUGAAUUAACGAUGGAUUAUGUUGAAUAAUCGAAUAUUUAUGUGGAUAGUUUGGAUAGGGCUCUGCUAUUCAAAAAUAGACAAACUAUUUCAACAGAGGAAGAACUUUGAGAUCAACUCAAGUCUUAAAUACUCAAACUUAACUUGUUUAUUUCAUAUGGGCGAAUGCCCUAUUUAUAGGCUCGAAGGAGCCGGUUACAAUUAUUGUUGCAAUCGUUUGAUUGCAAAACGACACACAUAAUUUACAAUAUAGACCCCUAGACUAUGGAGGGUCUUACAUCCUACUGACACUAUUUUAACACAAACGACAAAUACAAAUAAUUCUACCGACACUUUACAUAAUUAAAAAUAUAAUAAUCCCUUCCACAUUGAAAUGACAAGUGUCUUCAAGAAUGUCUUCAAUAAUGGCUUUUUACGUCAUUGCUUAUGUCAUUAGGUGUCUUCAAUAAUGGUUUUUUUACGUCAUUGCUUACGUUAUUCCUCCCAUUAAUCUUCCAUGAAUGGUGUUUCUUCUGUGUUUUCUGAACAGUGACUGUAAUGGUGUCUUGGUGCAUGCAUAAUAUGUUUACAAAGUUGUUUUUUGAUAUCAGCAGGUAAUUCAGCUAAUUGAUGAGAAAACUUUUCNGGUUGUUCGAGGUUUCAAUUGCUUUCAUUGCUUCCGGAGUGAUUUCACUGUCUGUUAACGAAUAGAUACAAGUUUUUGUGGUGUGAAGCUGAAUAUGGGUUUUUGUGGUGUUAGAAGAACUGUUUUUGAACAUUCGACGUUAUCUUUUAUUACUGCUUUGUAUGCUUCGUUGUAUGCGGUUUCUGCUUCAUUUUUUGUUCUGUAACUUUUGUGAAUGAUAUUUUUUCCAAGAAUAUAUGAACUGGCGAUUCCCCAAUCGUCAUAUACUCCUUUGUUUUCUCUGUUGAAAAUUACGUACCAUUUCUUUAUAUUUUUAUGAUCUGCUUGUAGUGGUGGAUACUCCUCCUGGUUUGGCGUCAUGGUUUGUUUUUCUGUUUCGAGUGCUAUUUGUGGUUGACUUUCAUCGGAUGAUAUUUCUUGAAUUUCUUCUUUUGGUUGCUUUGUUGUUGAGCUGCUGGCUGCUUCUUCUUUAGAUGCUGAAUAAGAUGAUAGAAUUCGUAUUGUUUGUUGUAGCUGCUCUUUUUCACGUCUGACUACUUCAAGCUGUCUGAUUAAUGAUGCUUCUUGCUUCUCUUUUUGUCUGAACUGGUGUUUGACUUGCUUCAUGAUGGCUUCCAUUUCAAUAUUUCUGUUGAAUGAAUAUUUGCGCCUUUUGGGUACCUGAAUGAUUGCUGAAUUUUGUUUACUUUUAAUAUGAUGAUAUGAGAAUUUUCAUAUCAAUGUAUGCUUUGGUGAUAUUUUCAUAUCACUGUAUACUUUAUCAUUGUUUACUUUGGAUGAUAUUUUCAUACCAAUAUAUGCUUUAGCAAUGUAUACUUUGGAUAGGUUAGAUAUGAGGUUUCCCUCAUGUUUUAAACCCAAUAAUGCUGUCUUCAUAGGACUUAUUUAUCUGAAUCAGAAUCAGUAUCAGUUGUAUAUGCAUAAAUAUCUAUAUCUGAAUCUAUUCCUGAAUCUUCUAUAGGUUCAUACCCGAGAUCAUAUGCUAUUUUUAAUAAGUUUGUUUCUUUUUCCUUUUUAGUCUUUUUUGGACAUUCGUAGGCUUUGUGUCCGUCUUCUUGACAUAUCCAACAUUUACAAUCUUUUUUAUUAGAUGGACAGUAAUUUGUGUUAGAUUGAUAUUUUUUCUUAUAUUGUUUUCUGUCUCGAAAAUAUUUUCUUUCACCUUGUUUAUAAUAUUGUUUAUAUUUAGGUUUAUAAGUUUGUUUUUUCCAAUUUUUCUUUUUAUAUUUUUGUUUUUUAUUAUCUUUACAACCAUAUUGAUUAACUUUAUUAGAUAAGGUAUCACAACAUAAAUCAAUUCUUGCAUCUUGUGUUGUUUUUUGUUCUAAACAUUUUUUCUGCAUCCAUGCUUUUAAUAUACUUAUCCUUGCUCCUAAGGUAUCUGCAAUUUUAUUUUGUUGUAAUGCUUCUUGGAAAUCUUUUAUUACACUUUGACUUACUAAUGAUGGUAAUUUUUGGUAAAACAUGUCUAAUGCUCUUUUUUCUAGUAAAAUCUAGAUUAUAAUAAUGUUCAAAAUAUUCGCAUAUAAAUGGGUCUAAAUAACACAUGUUACAAAUUCGUAAGUUAGUUAGAUGCCAUAAUGAUUCUAAUUGAAAAGCUUCUUGCGAUGUUUUAUCUUCUAUUUGUUUUCCUAUGAAUUCUUGAAUAAGUCGAUUUAAUACAUUUUUAAAUGUUUCUAAAGCGUCAGUGGUUGCUAUCAUCAUCGUCUCUGUUUCAUCGAGAGAUGAAAGGAAACGAUAUGCAUUGCCCUAUGUUUUAUGUAUAAUAUAAUUAAGAAAUUUUUUUGGAUGUAGAUUUCUUAAUUCUUCAGUUAGUUGAAUUUGAAUUCCCAUUUUAUUAUUCCAUUCUUGAAUUUUUGCUUCGGGAUUUUGCUCACAAUCAAUAAAAAGAAUAUCUGAAUUUGUUGGAAAAGUAAAUAGUUUAGGUAUAUAUUGUGGAGGUAUUUUUUCCCAUUUGUUUUGUUUAUUUUUGACCAUUCCUUGUCUAUAUAAAAAAUUUUCUUCUAACGAAGGUGGUCCAUAAAUAUAUUGACUUUGAUAAUCAUCUUCAACAUAUGAUUGUUUUCGUUUUAAUCCAAAAUUAUUUUGCGAUUCUUUAUAUGGAUUUGAAUAAGGGUUUUCAUCAUCAGAUGAAAAAUCAUAUAUUACUUCUGUAUCAUUAUUAUUUUCUAUUUCUGUGUUAUUUUCUUGAAUUUCGGAUGAAAUUUCUAGUACUGCGAAUAAUUUAGUUAAUGUAUCUACUUUUUCUUGUAAAGUUUCCAUAUUAAUAAAUUUUUAGUUUCUUUUUAUUUGCGGAGUAGUUAUUAUUGGUUGAAAAUUAGUUUCAUUAAAAAUUCUAUUAUUAGUCAUAUUUGGUGAUUCAAGUGAUAAUAAAUGUGUAAAUAAUUUAUCUAUAUAAAUUCUAUCUUCUGUUUUAAACGUAAUAUUAUGAUGAAAAUUUGUUAAUGCAUAAUUUAUUUGAUAUGUAAUAGUAAAUGAAUGAUUCCCUUUUAACAUAAAAUUUUGUCUUAAUAAUUUAUAUCGUACGGUAAUACUAUUACUUAAAUUUUUAUCUUUUAGACUUAAUCCUAGUUGUAUAUUAAUAUCAAAUUUUAUUUUUCCUUCAAUUAAAUUUCCUUUUCUUUUUGCAAUAAUACUUUCUUGAUUAUUAAUUAUACGAUCAUCUCUAAUUUCUAAUUCUAUUGGUGUGUCUAAAUCGCUAAAAGUACUUUUUAAAAUUAUUUGAAUAGUUGAUAUAUGAAUAUAAGCGAUUUUUGUUCUAUUUAUUUCUUUAAUAUUAGAUAGUCUGUUUCUAAUUUAUUGUUUAUUUAAUAUAGGUGUAAUAAUAUUUCCUUGAGUUGAUUCCAUAGGUAUUGGUUCUUCUCCUAUAAUUUUUCCAUAAUAUAUAAUAUUUUUUCUAGAAAAGAAAUUUUUCAAUGAGUUAUAUCUAAAAUUAUGUUUUUCAAUAGUGUAAAAUUUGAUUUUCUUAUAACAUCUUUAUUAAUAUUAUUUUCGUUAUUAAUAAUGAUUGGUGUAUUUUCAAUUUCUUGAGACAUAUUUAAUAAAUUAUUCUUGUUAUUUUAUCUUCAAUAUUUUUUUAUUUGUUAAUAUUUAACCUUGAAAAACUCAUGAUUAUAAUUUUUAGAAACAAAAUGAUAAAUUACUUUUUCUUUCAAAGUUACGAUUUAUAAAUUCUAAUAAGAUGUUGAUGGUGGGGUUUUUUUUAAUACUAUUAUAUUUAUGAUGCGGUCAGAGAAUUAAAAACUUUUUUGACAUAUGAAAUGUGUUUCUAACUUCUUGGUAUAUAGUCAUAAUUGUAAAAAACCUUCUACCGACAUAUGUUUAAAUUGUAGGUGGAUAAUAGUAUUUGAUUUUAAUGAGAAGUUUAUGAUAAUAACUUAUAACGAUGAAUAUUUGUAACGAUGAAUAUUUAUAAGAAUAUAUAUGAUGAUGCAUGAUGAGCAUAUAUUCAUAUGAGCGAAAGAUUUAACAUUCAUAAUAAUAAUAGUAAGAACGUUACUUAGCUCUGAUACCAAAUUUAACAACAUGACGGAUAAAUGAAUAUUAGGAUAAGAUUAUACCUGAAUGAUGCGUUGAGAUGGAUUAACGAUGGAUUAUGUUGAAUAAUUGAAUGUUUAUGUGGAUAGUUUGGAUAGGGCUAUGCUAUUCAGAAAUA
RNAcentral lists this long non-coding RNA (6288 nucleotides) under Lactuca sativa (garden lettuce). RNAcentral describes it as "long non-coding RNA (LSAT_LNC008274)". Lineage: Eukaryota; Viridiplantae; Streptophyta; Magnoliopsida; Asterales; Asteraceae. The record is from RNAcentral.